This 413-nucleotide ribosomal RNA is filed under the name uncultured bacterium. RNAcentral's name for it is "bacterial SSU rRNA". It matches the Rfam family "Bacterial small subunit ribosomal RNA", at positions 505 to 916 of the family's 1533-position model. The record is from RNAcentral.
GUGCCAGCAGCCGCGGUAAUACGUAGGUGGCAAGCGUUGUCCGGAAUUAUUGGGCGUAAAGCGCGCGCAGGCGGUCCCUUAAGUCUGAUGUGAAAGCCCCCGGCUUAACCGGGGAGGGUCAUUGGAAACUGGGGGACUUGAGUGCAGAAGAGAAGAGCGGAAUUCCACGUGUAGCGGUGAAAUGCGUAGAGAUGUGGAGGAACACCAGUGGCGAAGGCGGCUCUUUGGUCUGUAACUGACGCUGAGGCGCGAAAGCGUGGGGAGCAAACAGGAUUAGAUACCCUGGUAGUCCACGCCGUAAACGAUGAGUGCUAAGUGUUAGAGGGUUUCCGCCCUUUAGUGCUGCAGCUAACGCAUUAAGCACUCCGCCUGGGGAGUACGGCCGCAAGGCUGAAACUCAAAGAAAUUGACGG